UGGCUCUGGCAUNGAUGAAGAACGCAGCGAAAUGCGAUAAGUAAUGUGAAUUGCAGAAUUCAGUGAAUCAUCGAAUCUUUGAACGCACAUUGCGCCCCUUGGUAUUCCGGGGGGCAUGCCUGUUCGAGCGUCAUUAACAACCCUCAAGCAUAGCUUGGUAUUGGGCUUCGCCGUUUACGCGGUGGGCCUUAAAGUCAGUGGCGGUGUCGUCGUGGCCCCGAGCGUAGUAAAUAUUCCUCGCUUAGGGACCUAGCGAUUGCUUGCCAGAACCCCCAACUUUCAAGUUUGACCUCGGAUCAGGUAGGGAUACCCGCUGA
Molecule: unclassified non-coding RNA, 317 nt
Filed under: uncultured fungus
Lineage: Eukaryota; Fungi
Description: partial contains 5.8S ribosomal RNA and internal transcribed spacer 2
Rfam family: 5.8S ribosomal RNA (bases 1-133)
Source: RNAcentral